UACGGGGGGGGCAAGCGUUUGUUCGGAAUUACUGGGCGUAAAGGGCUCGUAGGCGGCCAACUAAGUCAUACGUGAAAUCCCUCGGCUUAACCGGGGAACUGCGUCUGAUACUGGAUGGCUUGAGUUCGGGAGAGGGAUGCGGAAUUCCAGGUGUAGCGGUGAAAUGCGUAGAUAUCAGGAGGAACACCAAUGGCGAAGGCAGCACUCUGGGACGGUACUGACGCUGAGACGCGAAAGCGUGGGGAGCAAACAGG
RNAcentral lists this ribosomal RNA (254 nucleotides) under uncultured bacterium. RNAcentral describes it as "partial 16S ribosomal RNA". It matches the Rfam family "Bacterial small subunit ribosomal RNA", at positions 524 to 776 of the family's 1533-position model. The record is from RNAcentral.